Molecule: ribosomal RNA, 506 nt
Filed under: uncultured bacterium
Lineage: Bacteria
Description: partial 16S ribosomal RNA
Rfam family: Bacterial small subunit ribosomal RNA
Source: RNAcentral
AGUGAACGCUGGCGGUAGGCCUAACACAUGCAAGUCGAACGGCAGCACAGGAGAGCUUGCUCUCUGGGUGGCGAGUGGCGGACGGGUGAGGAAUACAUCGGAAUCUACUUUUUCGUGGGGGAUAACGUAGGGAAACUUACGCUAAUACCGCAUACGACCUAGGGGUGACAGCAGGGGACCGUCGGGCCUUGAGCGAUUGAAUGAGCCGAUGUCGGAUUAGCUAGGUGGCGGGGUAAAGGCCCACCAAGGCGACGAUCCGUAGCUGGUCUGGGAGGUAGAUCAGCCAACCUGGAACUGGGACACGGUCCAGCCGCCUACGGGAGGCAGCAGUGGGUAAUAUUGGACAAUGGGCGCAAGCCUGAUCCAGCCAUACCGCGUGGGUGAAGAAGGCCUUCGGGUUGUAAAGCCCUUUUGUUGGGAAAGAAAUCCAGCUGGCUAAUACCCGGUUGGGAUGACGGUACCCAAAGAAUAAGCACCGGCUAACUUCGUGCCAGCCGCCGCCGUAA